Molecule: long non-coding RNA, 265 nt
Filed under: Homo sapiens (human)
Lineage: Eukaryota; Metazoa; Chordata; Mammalia; Primates; Hominidae
Description: non-protein coding lnc-BRF1-25:1
Source: RNAcentral
CCUGGUGAAGCCCUCACAGAUCCUCCCCCUGGCCUGUGGCAUCUCUGCUUCUCCAUUACAACCAGUGCUUCCUGCUGGAGCUGGAUCCGUCACCCCCCGGGGAAGGGACUGGAGCGAAUCAGGUGCACAGGUCAUGAGGGAGUGCACAAUCCAACCCACUCCUCAAGAGUCCAGUCACCAUCUCCAGAUCCACAUCCAAAAAACAGUUUCUCCUACAGCUGAGCUACCUUAACAAGGAGUACACAACCAUGAUUUUUAUACAAAA